GGACCUAAGCUGAGGCCGAAAGGCGUAGGUGAUGGACAACAGGUUGAUAUUCCUGUACUACCGAUAACCGUUUGAGAGAUGGGAUGACACAGUAGGAUAAGCUAAGCACACUGUUGGUUAUGUGUGCACAAGCAUUGAGGCAGUCAAAGUAGGCAAAUCCGCUUUGAUAAUGCUGGGAUGUGAUGGGGAGCGAAAUUUAGUAGCGAA
This 207-nucleotide ribosomal RNA is filed under the name Clostridioides difficile. Its description in RNAcentral is "partial 23S ribosomal RNA". It matches the Rfam family "Bacterial large subunit ribosomal RNA", at positions 1387 to 1589 of the family's 2925-position model. The record is from RNAcentral. Lineage: Bacteria; Bacillati; Bacillota; Clostridia; Peptostreptococcales; Peptostreptococcaceae.